RNAcentral lists this ribosomal RNA (440 nucleotides) under uncultured bacterium. RNAcentral describes it as "partial 16S ribosomal RNA". It matches the Rfam family "Bacterial small subunit ribosomal RNA", at positions 338 to 795 of the family's 1533-position model. The record is from RNAcentral.
CCUACGGGAGGCAGCAGUGGGGAAUAUUGCACAAUGGGGGAAACCCUGAUGCAGCGACGCCGCGUGAGUGAUGAAGUAAUUCGUUAUGUAAAGCUCUUUUAGUAGGGAAGAAAAUGACGGUACCUGAGUAAUAAGCCCCGGCUAACUCCGUGCCAGCAGCCGCGGUAAUACGGAGGGGGCAAGCGUUAUCCGGAUUUACUGGGUGUAAAGGGAGCGUAGACGGGAUGGCAAGUCUGAAGUGAAAGGCGGGGGCUCAACCACCGAACUGCACUGGAAACUGUAAGGCUGGAGUGCAGGAGAGGUAAGUGGAAUUCCUGGUGUAGCGGUGAAAUGCGUAGAUAUUAGGAGGAACACCAAUGGCGAAGGCGGCUUACUAGACUGUAACUGACGUUGAUGCUCGAAAGCGUGGGGAGCAAACAGGAUUAGAUACCCUAGUAGUC